UUUUUACUCCGGAACUGGCCUGAUCGCGCUUGGAGCCUUGCAAUUACAAAGCAGAUUUGUCUAACGUUACUUCACUUUUUACGUCAUGUGAAAUUGUUAACUGAAUGAGCUAUCUUUUGAAUCUGUGAAGGCAUUUGAUUUGUUGAUGCUAUUGCUGAGUUGGAUACUGAUCAUACGGACGAUUCAAGGAAGAAGAAGAAGAAGAAAGGAAGUGAGAAGUAGUGAAACAAGGGCAAAUGCUGAGGUGGCACAAGUGGAUGAGUCAGGAAAGAGCUGGCUUUGCUGUUACUCUUCAGAUUUAUGCUGGCUGAUGAUUUGAUGGUAUUGUGAAGGAGACGCUAUGACUACUCUAAACCUUUAACAAUGGUGGUUCGAUGAACGUGACGAUGAGGUGUUUGUUGAGGUUUCCAAGUUUCAUUAGGUCGAUUGCAACAUUGGAGUUGAUUUUGCUUCGAUUCAAGCUAAAAUAUUAAUGCCUACAAGGUGUUCGACAAAAUUGCUUCUGGGAGAAGAAGGAAGCAACAACGUACGUAAGCAGAGGAAUCGCCUUCUUAAGGCAUGGGGCCAUUUUAAGUUCGAAACAAUGUCACGAAUUCGACAACUCCCAGCAUUUGUUGUUCUGUUUCUCACGUUGGAAGGAUCCAAUUGGACAAAGGAACAGCUUUAAGAUGAUGAGACGGAGUGGCUGCGAUUAUAGGACAAUAAAUCACUAUCUGAAACUCUGCAACUCAUCAUUGAGUUCUUUCCCUGUCAGUUUCCUUACGAGUUCUUGAAUACGUGUGGGAUCCACCAACAAGAAUCACCUCAUCAAUAUCCAAGACUGCUUCAGGUGCUCCAGUUCAGGCUGGUGUUCUAUCUGGAGAUGUGAGGGACAUUGUUCUUCUUGAUGUGUCACUUGGUUUGGAAACUUUUGGUGGUGUCAUGACCAAGAUCAUUUUAAGAAACACCACACUUCCAAUUUCCAACUUCUAAAUCAGAAGUCUUCUCAACUGCUGCAGAUGGACAGACAAAAUGUGUUACAGGGUGAGAGAGAGAGUUCGUAAGAGAUAACAAGUCUAUUGGUAGCUUCCGUCUUGAUGGUAUCCCGCCUGCACCACGUGGAGUUCCACAAAUCGAGGUCAAUUUUGAUACUGAUGCCAAUGGAAUUCUAUCUAUCUGUCAGUGCUUCCGACAACGGCACUGGAAAAGAAGCAGGACAUCACCAUUACUGGUGCUAGUACCUUGCCAAAGGAUGAGGUAGACACAAUGGUGCAAGAAGCAGAGAGGUUUGCCAAGGAAGACAAAGAAAAGAGAGAUGCAUGCGAUUGACACAAAGAACCAGGCUGAUUCCAUCGUGUAGAACCAAGAAGUGAUGCUGAUUAAUUAGCCAGUCUCUUUACAACCAACCUCAAUCAGGUUCUCCUCCUGGAGGUGAAGCGUCCUCGGAUCUGACUCAUCAUCUUCAACCAAAGGUGGAGACAAUGGUGAUGAUGUGAUCGACGCUGACUUCACUGACAGCAAAUAAAUACAAUUCGGAUUCAUACAAGUAUUAUUCUUGGGGUUUGUCCAUGAUUAUAUACACAGACUGUUGCGGUGUUAUGCAGCUCUGUACACAUCAGAGGCGGAGUCCGUGGUUCUUAGGACUUUGAGGAACACUGCUUGCUCUGCCCCUGUACCUGCGCUCUUCAUUGCAUCCACACCUGCCAUUACCACCACCUGAGUUAUGCGCGGUUGUGUAUAAUUGGUUAAAACCGUGACCCGGUUAAGGAGCUCGGAAUGAAUAAUGAGAUCAUCUUGAUUUUUUUUUGGAUAC
Molecule: long non-coding RNA, 1792 nt
Organism: Camelina sativa (false flax)
Lineage: Eukaryota; Viridiplantae; Streptophyta; Magnoliopsida; Brassicales; Brassicaceae
Source: RefSeq, a predicted model, not a curated record